UACGGGGGGGGCAAGCGUUGUUCGGAAUUACUGGGCGUAAAGGGCUCGUAGGCGGCCAACUAAGUCAUACGUGAAAUCCCUCGGCUUAACCGGGGAACUGCGUCUGAUACUGGAUGGCUUGAGUUCGGGAGAGGGAUGCGGAAUUCCAGGUGUAGCGGUGAAAUGCGUAGAUAUCUGGAGGAACAUCGGUGGCGAAGGCGGCAUCCUGGACCGGUAUUGACGCUGAGGCACGAAGGCCAGGGGAGCAAACGGG
This 253-nucleotide ribosomal RNA is filed under the name uncultured bacterium. Its description in RNAcentral is "partial 16S ribosomal RNA". It matches the Rfam family "Bacterial small subunit ribosomal RNA", at positions 524 to 776 of the family's 1533-position model. The record is from RNAcentral.